CCUUCGAUAGCUCAGUUGGUAGAGCGGUGGACUGUAGAAAAUUUGGAAAGUCGAACAGCUGUUACCUUACUCUAGGUGCUGCACAUUUGACCAAGCUUUCCGAUCGAGUAGAAAUCCAUAGGUCACUGGUUCAAAUCCGGUUCGAAGGA
Non-coding RNA from Anopheles funestus (African malaria mosquito), 149 nucleotides. NCBI's taxonomy places the organism in Eukaryota, Metazoa, Arthropoda, Insecta, Diptera, Culicidae. The record is from Rfam.